AGAGUUUGAUCAUGGCUCAGGACGAACGCUGGCGGCGUGCUUAACACAUGCAAGUCGAACGAUGAAGCCGGAGCUUGCUCUGGUGGAUUAGUGGCGAACGGGUGAGUAACACGUGAGUAACCUGCCCAUGACUCUGGGAUAACUGCGGGAAACUGUAGCUAAUACCGGAUACGACCCUCGGAGGCAUCUCCUGGGGGUGGAAAGAAUUUCGGUCAUGGAUGGACUCGCGGCCUAUCAGCUAGUUGGUGAGGUAAAGGCUCACCAAGGCGACGACGGGUAGCCGGCCUGAGAGGGUGACCGGCCACACUGGGACUGAGACACGGCCCAGACUCCUACGGGAGGCAGCAGUGGGGAAUAUUGCACAAUGGGCGCAAGCCUGAUGCAGCAACGCCGCGUGAGGGACGACGGCCUUCGGGUUGUAAACCUCUUUUAGUAGGGAAGAAGCGAAAGUGACGGUACCUGCAGAAAAAGCACCGGCUAACUACGUGCCAGCAGCCGCGGUAAUACGUAGGGUGCAAGCGUUGUCCGGAAUUAUUGGGCGUAAAGAGCUCGUAGGCGGUUUGUCGCGUCUGCUGUGAAACCCCGAGGCUCAACCUCGGGCCUGCAGUGGGUACGGGCAAGCUAGAGUGCGGUAGGGGAGAUUGGAAUUCCUGGUGUAGCGGUGGAAUGCGCAGAUAUCAGGAGGAACACCAAUGGCGAAGGCAGAUCUCUGGGCCGUUACUGACGCUGAGGAGCGAAAGCGUGGGGAGCGAACAGGAUUAGAUACCCUGGUAGUCCACGCCGUAAACGUUGGGAACUAGAUGUAGGGACCAUUCCACGGUUUCUGUGUCGCAGCUAACGCAUUAAGUU
RNAcentral lists this ribosomal RNA (849 nucleotides) under uncultured bacterium. RNAcentral describes it as "bacterial SSU rRNA". It matches the Rfam family "Bacterial small subunit ribosomal RNA", at positions 8 to 866 of the family's 1533-position model. The record is from RNAcentral.